AUUGAACACUGGCGGCGUGCCUAACACAUGCAAGUCGAGCGGUAACAGGUGUAGCAAUACAUGCUGACGAGCGGCGAACGGGUGAGUAAUGCUUCGGAAUCUACCUUAUGGUGGGGAAUAACUAGCCGAAAGGUUAGCUAAUACCGCAUACGUCCUACGGGAGAAAGCAGGGGAUCGCAAGACCUUGCGCCAAAAGAUGAGCCGAAGUCGGAUUAGCUAGUUGGUAGGGUAACGGCCUACCAAGGCGACGAUCCGUAGCUGGUCUGAGAGGACGACCAGCCACACUGGGACUGAGAAACGGCCCAGACUCCUACUGGAGGCAGCAGUGGGGAAUAUUGGACAAUGGGGGAAACCCUGAUCCAGCGACGCCGCGUGUGUGAAGAAGGCCUGCGGGUUGUAAAGCACUUUUAGUGGGGAUGAAAUGUGCAGGGUUAAUACCUCUGCAUUUUGACCUAACCCACAGAAAAAGCACCGGCUAACUCUGUGCCAGCCGCCGCAGUAA
This 502-nucleotide ribosomal RNA is filed under the name uncultured bacterium. RNAcentral describes it as "partial 16S ribosomal RNA". It matches the Rfam family "Bacterial small subunit ribosomal RNA", at positions 30 to 523 of the family's 1533-position model. The record is from RNAcentral.